This 1012-nucleotide long non-coding RNA is filed under the name Homo sapiens (human). RNAcentral describes it as "non-protein coding SNHG5:41". Lineage: Eukaryota; Metazoa; Chordata; Mammalia; Primates; Hominidae. The record is from RNAcentral.
CUUUUACGUCGGCCUUCGCGAGCGUCUGGGCGGGUGGUAGGUGAGUGGGUAUUGCGGGCUAGUAUCCGAGCAAAAGAUGGUGGCGCAGGCCGAGUUAAGAGCUUUAAUCCUGUGAAGACAUCUUAGUGAAGAGUUUAGAGUGCUGAGAGUUGAAAGCUUGCACGUGGGAAACGUGCGGCCGGACUGCCACAUGUACUGAGGUUGAGUCGUGACGGCCACAGGCUCCGAGUUUUGGCGUGAGGAACCGCUGAUCGGCCACGGGCGCCGAACUUGCUGGCCUCCGGCAUGUGCCUGAGCGGCGGCGGAAAAACCACCUUAAUUGGGGCGGAGGGUUAGUUUUAACAGCAAAGGGCCUUUACUAAAAUGGCGAAGGCCUUCCGUCGGCGUUGUUUUAAAAUGGGAAGCCUCGACCCUGUAUUGAAACUGAGCUGUUCGAAGGCGGCGUUGUGUGCAAUUCGGAUUAAUGAAGGGGAAGGGUUUUGUGUGGAAAAACGCCUUGGAGUGUGACAUUUCUGCGAGAAUGCUUAAAUACCGAUUUCCCGCAGGAACAAUGGCGCUGUCUUCAGUGGCACAGUGGAGCAGCUCUGAAGAUGCAAAGAUACACGAAAAAACUUCCAGAACAUCUGGGAGAAUAUUUAAUGGAAAAUCGCUUGGUUAAAACCUGACACUUUUAACAGUGAACAGCGUUCUGAGUGUGGACGAGUAGCCAGUGAAGAUAAUGAAUGUCGAAUGUGACUGACUAGCAGCUUCAUUUUGAAUGAGGGUCGCUGUCUGCCCAUUGAUAGAGGCCAGAUUGUCUUGGAAGUUCCAAAGUUGCAACGAUUUCUGGCUAGUGCCACGAGGUUUACUUGACUGUUGUGUGAAAAGCUGAUAAGAAAACCAUCCAGAAAAAAGCUCUUCGUUUUACAAACAUGAAAAUAAAACAUGUAAUUUUGGAUUAUGUUCCUUUUUGUUAUUACUUUUAAAUAGGUCCUGAAAUAACAUGGGGAGCAUUAAAUGGAAAAUCCACUAA